This 443-nucleotide ribosomal RNA is filed under the name uncultured bacterium. RNAcentral describes it as "partial 16S ribosomal RNA". It matches the Rfam family "Bacterial small subunit ribosomal RNA", at positions 338 to 795 of the family's 1533-position model. The record is from RNAcentral.
CCUACGGGUGGUCUGCAGUGGGGCAUAUUGGGCAAUGGGCGCAAGCCUAACCCAGCAAUGCCGCGUGAAGGAAGAAGGCUUUCGGGUUGUCACCUUCUUUGACAGGGGAAGAGCAGAAGACAGUACCCUGAAAACAAGCCACGGCUAACUACGUGCCAGCAGACGCGGUAAUACGUAGGUGGCAAGCGUUGUCCGGAUUUACUGGGUGUAAAGGGCGUGUAGCCGGGAAGGCAAGUCAGAUGUGAAAUCUAGAGGCUCAACCUCCAAAUUGCAGUUGAAACUGUUUUUCUUGAGUACUGGAGAGGCAGACGGAAUUCCUGGUGUAGCGGUGAAAUGCGUAGAUAUAAGGAGGAACACCAGUGGCGAAGGCGGUCUGCUGGACAGCAACUGACGGUGAGGCGCGAAAGCGUGGGGAGCAAACAGGAUUAGAUACCCGAGUAGUC